GGGGACCUCUGCAGACUCCAUACGACUCGCUUUUAAACCCUGGGAGCUUUAGAACUCAAUACAACAAAAACACCAAGGUGACGAAGUUACCCUGGGGACAUUUCUGCAGAGGGACGAGAGUUUCUUCAUAACUUAGCUUUCUCUCUCUCUUUUUUUUUUUGUGGCUUAUUAUUAUUUUUUUCACCUUACGUAGAGAUGAACAGUUGGCCGGGUUUAUCUACAUUCAGGUGAAGUUCUGCUGCCUCUUCUCAAGUCCCCUUAUUUUGCUGCCCUUUUCCUUCUCUCCUUUGCUUUUCCCCAUUCUCAGUCCCCGCCCCGUUGGUCUGUAAAGGAAGACUUAAAGUGAACCCUAGCCAGCCUUUAUAAGACGAAUCUUUAGUAAGACUUAAGGAGGUUCAACCAAAAUUUUGGUUCGCCUCUCUUCCAGCUUCUCUUCUGAAACUGUUCUGUUUGGGCCUUGGUCAGCAGUGCCGCGAGAAAUUAGAUGUGCACAAGUACUUUGUUAUAAAAAGCGGGCAACAUUUAAAUAUAAAAAACAUGACUAUCACAACAGAACAUCAGAUCCUUUUCUGGUAAAUAAUCAACAGCAUAUUACUCUGGAAGAAGCCACUAUACACCUCCUAAAAAUAGUUGACAAAUGCCGAAUUGAUUACUAGUAGGCUAUUUUAAGGUAAGAUUUGCACUC
RNAcentral lists this long non-coding RNA (685 nucleotides) under Marmota monax (woodchuck). The record is from RNAcentral. Lineage: Eukaryota; Metazoa; Chordata; Mammalia; Rodentia; Sciuridae.